AAAAAAGAUAUUUAGGUCUUGAGGAAGUUUAUUUACAUAUAACCAUCCUUCUUAUCUUAAUGAUUGUAGUGAUACUAACAGUAAGGAUAUAAAUAGCAGAUGAAAACCUUAUUUCAUUUCUCAGAAGGAUAUUAGCAAGUCGUACAUCCCCUAGAUUAAUGAAAUAUACUCUGCAUUUAACUUUCAGUGUAUAAACUGGAUCAUUCUAUGCAUAUUAUUUGAAACGUGCCUUUUUUCCAGAGAACAUGCCUCGUCUUUCAAACACACAGGCCCUUUUCUCCCCUUUAAUUUUAUUGCAGUAUAAUUUUCAAUAAUUUUUUUUAAUAUAGAGUUCUGAGCCUUUGGACAAGCAUGAGGCAUGUAACCACUGCACAGAGAAGGAUGGGGAAGGCCUGUCUCCCCCGCCCCCUCCGGGACCACCCUUGCCCUUUGGGAAGGUGCCAGGGGUGGAACCUGCCGUGAGCCCAGGAGCCCCCGGCCUCUGAAAUUCCGCCUCAUGGGCCUCUUCUCAGUCUGUUCCUUUUUGCAUCCAAAAAGUUUUCCAUGCUAUGAAGCCACCACAGCUUAACUCCUAAGUCACUGAGGUUGUUUCCAGUUUGAAGGGUUAGGAUAAAGCUGCACUGGGCUGGGGCUGGGGCUGGGCUCCGUGCAGAGCGCUGGCCUGGCAUGUGUGAGGCCCUGGGUUCGAUCCUUAGCACCGCAUAAACAUAAACAAAUGAAGAAAGAAAUGCUGUCCAUCUACAACUAAGCAACAUCUUGAAAGUAAAAGCGGCUGUGAGCAUAUGUGUUUGUGGGAACAAGCACGCAUUAGACCUAGGCUGGGGCUGGUGCUGGGGCUCAGUGGCAGAGCGCUUGUCUACCAUCCGUGAGACACUGGGUUCAAUCCGCAGCACCAUGAAAAAGUAAACGGAUACAAUAAAGGUAUUGUGUCUAUCUACAACCAAAAACAAAGUUUAAAAAACAACAGGUUUUCACUUCACCUGGGCCUGGGCUUGUGUGUCAUGUGGCUGGUGAAUGCUCUGCGAGUUCCAGUGAACCCCCACUCUGCACCCCAUGUCCCCACCGGCUCUGUGGGGGCUCCAGUGGUGGGCACCCUGGGCCUCCGUGGUGCAUGGCUGCUUCCUUCUCAGCAGUUCCAGCGAUGGAGUGACUCACUGGGGGCUGAACGGCACGCCGGCCACAGUGCCUGCCUUUUCCUUGGCCAGUCCUGCUGGGGGUCUCCAGUGCUAUUCUUCUUUUCCCUGAAAAUCAGCUUCUGCCUCUUCUCUGCAUUUAGUUGUGUUUCAUUGCCAGUUUCUUUAUUAUACCCUCUGGAUAAUUUGCUAUUCUUUUCUAAUUCAUUGACUUUCUGUUUUGCUUUUUAUCUAAUACACAUGUUGGCUCUGUUUUGAUUCUAUCAUGUUAGUGUUUACAUUCAGUUCAAAACAUAGUGACUUCUACGGUGACUUCUCUUCCACCCAAGGGGUCUUUGACAGGAGUAUUGCUUCGUGUUCAGAGUCUGGGCUCGGGCUGCCGUCAGGCUGGUCCCCUGGGUGCUCCUGUGCCUGGGGCUGGUCCCUGGGUGCUCCUGUGCCUGGGUGGUUUCAGCUCUCUGGGACCUGGGAGACUUGCUCUAGGACCCGUCCUGCCUCUUUCAAUGUUUGUGGGCCAUCCAAGGCAGGUGGUGCCCCUCUGAGGUUGUCUAGAACAGUGUCCCUUAGGUCACUUUUGCUGUUGGUGUUGUUCUAAAUCUUAUAGAAACUCACCAAGGUUUUUUGUAGGCUCAUUCUACCUGUGACAGAGCCAGAAUCUCCCACGAUGAUUGUCGCUUCUUUAUUACUCCCGUAAUUCUACAUUGUAUGUUAGAUAUUUGGAGACAAUGUUACCGGAUGAGGUAGAACUUUAGACUCAUUGUAUCUUCCUGGUAGGUUGAACAUCUUCUUAUUAUAAAGUAAUAACUUUUGCUUUAUGAUCCAAAGUCUGAUUUUUAGAUAUUAAUAAGGCUGUAUCAGCUUUGGGGGUUUAUUUUUACUAUGGUAUGUCUUUCUCUAUGAUUUUACUUCCAACCUUGGUUUUUGUUUUGGAUAUCUCUUCUCUUUAUUCUUAAAAAGUGUUUGUGUGCUGGGGUCGUGGCUCAGUGGCAGAGCACUCGCCUGACG
This 2138-nucleotide long non-coding RNA is filed under the name Marmota monax (woodchuck). Lineage: Eukaryota; Metazoa; Chordata; Mammalia; Rodentia; Sciuridae. The record is from RNAcentral.